AAACCUUAUACUGAUAAAUCAAUGAACAGAUCCAUGCUUCUCUGAGUUGCCAGCUGGUGAUGUCUGAGAAAUUGAUUUGUCGUGGAGAAAUGCAGCUAACGAGAACGAAAUGUUGCCGAUAACUGACCUUAAAUACUUAAAAAAGCUUCAAGACCGAGGGUGGUGUCUACAUUCAAUCAUUAUGCUGGCCAUGUGUAGGGCCUAUCAACAACAUGUUACAAGGUAUUUUACAUGUUUUUUGAUGUUUUAUUGGAGAUGUUUCCAGUCCAUUUUGUUGCAUCUCUUUGAAUGGGCUUUCACAAUCAGUUUCUUUUUAUCUUCACUUUGCAAUCCAUCCUUGUGACUACCGCUUUAACUCACACUAUCCAUGCACAAUAAUCCAUUCUUCUGUAUGCAGAUUUUGAACACCUAAUUCCAUCUGAGAACUGAGCAUUUUCUAUAAUUCUGAUAUCUUCAAGCCUCGAAUUAAUUCAUUACAUGCCUUUUCAUCUUUCUGGUGUGUAGACAGUACAUUUAUAUAAAUGGUUCCUCUUUUCUUUUCUUUCUUUAAAUUGUGGAUUUCAAUUUGCAAUCCAUCUUUGUGACUGCCGCUUUAACUCACAGGACAAUAAUCCAUUCUUCUGUAUGCAGAUUUGAACACCUAAUUCCAUCUGAGAACUGAGCAUUUUCUAUAAUUCUGAUAUCUUCAAGCCUUGAAUUAGUUCAUUACAUGCCUUUCCUUUUUCUGCUGUGUAGGCAGUGCAUUUAUAUAAAUGGUUCCUCUUUUCUUUUUCUUUCUUUACAUUGGGGACGUGAUUUUUCUUACAUGAAAACAACAAACAAAUUUAGACAUUGUUUGCUGAAAAUUGUUGAAAUAUUUGAUUUGACAAAUUCUCCAACCUGCAAGCGAAAUCCAAGGUUGCUUGUUUUUAUCCUUCCUCUUCUAUCGGUGGGCUUAUAUCAAUUUCCACGUAGAUAGUGAGCCUCAGUAGCUGUUUCAUCAGGAUUCAGGAAGAAGAUAAUGUAGCUGGGGAAGCUGCUGAACAUGCUUUAUUGGUUCUAAUAGGUGAAUGUGUCAUCCUAAAGAUGAAGGUUUUUUUUCUUUCUGC
Molecule: long non-coding RNA, 1088 nt
Filed under: Nicotiana benthamiana
Lineage: Eukaryota; Viridiplantae; Streptophyta; Magnoliopsida; Solanales; Solanaceae
Description: long non-coding RNA (NBEN_LNC009489)
Source: RNAcentral